Molecule: ribosomal RNA, 431 nt
Filed under: uncultured bacterium
Lineage: Bacteria
Description: partial 16S ribosomal RNA
Rfam family: Bacterial small subunit ribosomal RNA
Source: RNAcentral
AACGAACGCUGGCAGCAGGCUUAACACAUGCAAGUCGAGCGCCCCGCCAGGGGAGUGGCAGACGGGUGAGUAGCGCGUGGGAACGUACCCUCAUCUUCGGCCUAGCUCCGGGAUACUGGAAUCAUUACCGAAUGUGCCCUUUGGGGGAAUGAUUUAUCGGGUAAGGCUCGGCCCGUGUUAGAUUUGCGGGUUGGUGGGGUAAAGGCCUACCUAGGCGACGUUCCAUAGCUGGUCUGAGUGGCUGAUCAGCCACAUUGGGACUGCGACACAGCCCCAACUCGGACGCGGGAGAGCAGUAGGGAAUAUUAGGCGAUGAGCGCUGGCCUGAUCCAGCCGUGCCGCGUGAGUGAUGAAUGCCUUAGGAUAGUAAAGCUCUUUGUCCGGAGGAGAUAAUGACGGUAUCCGGAGAAGAAGCCCCGGCUAACUUCGUG